Molecule: ribosomal RNA, 480 nt
Filed under: uncultured bacterium
Lineage: Bacteria
Description: partial 16S ribosomal RNA
Rfam family: Bacterial small subunit ribosomal RNA
Source: RNAcentral
GACGAACGCUGGCGGCGUGCCUAACACAUGCAAGUCGAGCGAGUGAAUCUCCUUCGGGAGUGAAGCUAGCGGCGGACGGGUGAGUAACACGUGGGCAACCUGCCUCAUAGAGGGGAAUAGCCUUCCGAAAGGAAGAUUAAUACCGCAUAAGAUUGUAGCUUCGCAUGAAGUAGCAAUUAAAGGAGCAAUCCGCUAUGAGAUGGGCCCGCGGCGCAUUAGCUAGUUGGUGAGGUAACGGCUCACCAAGGCGACGAUGCGUAGCCGACCUGAGAGGGAGAUCGGCCACAUUGGGACUGAGACACGGCCCAGACUCCUACGGGAGGCAGCAGUGGGGAAUAUUGCACAAUGGGGGAAACCCUGAUGCAGCAACGCCGCGUGAGUGAUGACGGCCUUCGGGUUGUAAAGCUCUGUCUUCAGGGACGAUAAUGACGGUGCCUGAGGAGGAAGCCACGGCUAACUACGUGCCAGCCGCCGCCGUAA